This 1559-nucleotide long non-coding RNA is filed under the name Capra hircus (goat). Its description in RNAcentral is "lncRNA (ENSCHIG00010000231.1)". Lineage: Eukaryota; Metazoa; Chordata; Mammalia; Artiodactyla; Bovidae. The record is from RNAcentral.
AUGCAUCUUAAAUAUAUAUUUAGUCAUAUUAUAUCUAUAUGUUAUGAAUAUGUACAUAUUUUAAAAGGUACAAAUAUAAACUUAGCUACACUUUAUCCUAGAAAUUCUUUAUCAACAAAUGUUUUGACACAUUCUCUGUUUUGACACAUAGAAUUGCUUCAUGUUCAAGACUGUUCAGUACUUAUAGCUUUUUCUUUUUUUAAAAUUAUUGAAUAACUAGAAAUAACUUAUAUGUCUACACUAAGAAAGUGAAGGUGAAAGUGUUAGUCAGUCAGUAGUGUUCAACUCUGUAACCCCACGGACUGCAGCCCACCAGGCUCCUGUCCAUGGGAUUUUCCAGGCAAGAAUACUGGAGUGAGUUGUGAUGCCCUUCUCCAGGGUAUCUUUCCAACCCAGGGAUCAAACCUGGGUCUCCAGCAUUGCAGACAGAUUCUGAGCCAUCAUCUGAGACACCAGGGAAGACCUAACAACAUUAGGGGAUUUGACUGAAUAAAUUAUUAAUAUUAUAUAGCCAUAUAAUGGAAUACCAUGUAAUAGAAACAAAUGUUAAAUUCACACAGUUGAAAUUGACUAAUGAUAAAUUAUCCAAGAUAUACUGUUAGAAUAUGGUGUAUUUGUAGAAUAAUCCUGAAAAUUUAGCAAAAUUUUAUAGAGAAGAGGGUGUUUACUUUUCAUAAGUUAUUUUCUCUAAGCUAAAAACCUCUACACGCAAAAUUCUUUUCAUUUUGUAUUUGCAUGUAUUAAUUUUAUAAUUUAAAUGAUAAAUUAAGAAUACACACAACAAUUCUGAUGUUCUGAUACUUGUUCUGUAUUAAGAACACUCUGGUCCUCAUAUGAUAUUGAUGUCCUAGAAUAAGUUUUAAUGACUAGAGUCCUGAACAAUCAAAUCAAUAUCACUAUUUAAAAUUUUUCUCUAUGGGAAAAGUAUUUAUUUUGUACUGAAAAAUAAUCACACCUCAGUUAUCCUUUAAAUAGACUACAUGCACAAUGUUGCUUUAUAAUACCCUUUCUGUGACAGUGAAAUGAAAUAUGAGAAAAUAUACCAGAUAUAUAUGCUCAGGAGUGCAAUCAUUGGGUCACAUGGUAACGUUAUUCUUAGUUUUUAAGGAACCUCCCCACUAUUCUCCAUAGCGGUUGCAACAAUAUAUCCAGAGAAAACUGUAAUUAGAAAAGAUGCAGGUAGCCCAAUGUUCAUAGCAGCACUCUUUACAAUUGCCAAGACAUGGAAACAAUGUAUGUGUGUGUGUGAGUGUGUAUGUGUGUAAUAUUACUCAGCCCAAAAGAAGAAUGAAACAAUGUCAUUUUCAGCAACAUGGAUGGAUAUAGAGAUUAUUAUAUGAAAUGAAGUAAGUCAGAGAAAGACAAAUGCCACACGAUAUCACUUCUAUGUAGAAUCNNNNNNNNNNNNNNNNNNGUACUUAUUCACAAAACAGAAAUAGACUCAAACGGAAAACAAACUUACGGUUAUGAAAGGAGAAGGGGGAAGGAAUAAAUUAGGAGUUUAGGAUUAACAUAUAUACGCUAUGAAAUAAAAAUAGAUAACGAAGAGGGACCUACUC